RNAcentral lists this ribosomal RNA (1713 nucleotides) under Listeria monocytogenes. RNAcentral describes it as "partial 23S ribosomal RNA". It matches the Rfam family "Bacterial large subunit ribosomal RNA", at positions 1 to 1705 of the family's 2925-position model. Lineage: Bacteria; Bacillati; Bacillota; Bacilli; Caryophanales; Listeriaceae. The record is from RNAcentral.
UUGGUUAAGUUAGAAAGGGCGCACGGUGGAUGCCUUGGCACUAGGAGCCGAAGAAGGACGGGACUAACACCGAUAUGCUUUGGGGAGCUGUACGUAAGCGUUGAUCCAGAGAUUUCCGAAUGGGGGAACCCACUAUCUUUAGUCGGAUAGUAUCCUUACGUGAAUACAUAGCGUGAGGAAGGCAGACCCAGGGAACUGAAACAUCUAAGUACCUGGAGGAAGAGAAAGAAAAAUCGAUUUCCUGAGUAGCGGCGAGCGAAACGGAAAGAGCCCAAACCAAGAAGCUUGCUUCUUGGGGUUGUAGGACACUCUAUACGGAGUUACAAAAGAAAGUUAUAAAUGAAGCGGUCUGGAAAGGCCCGCCAAAGACGGUAACAGCCCGGUAGUUGAAAUGGCUUUCCCUCCAGAGUGGAUCCUGAGUACGGCGGAACACGUGAAAUUCCGUCGGAAUCCGGGAGGACCAUCUCCCAAGGCUAAAUACUCCCUAGUGACCGAUAGUGAACCAGUACCGUGAGGGAAAGGUGAAAAGCACCCCGGAAGGGGAGUGAAACAGUUCCUGAAACCGUGUGCCUACAAGUAGUUAGAGCCCGUUAAUGGGUGAUAGCGUGCCUUUUGUAGAAUGAACCGGCGAGUUACGAUUUGUUGCAAGGUUAAGCGGAAAAAGCGGAGCCGUAGCGAAAGCGAGUCUGAAUAGGGCGCAUAAGUAACAGGUCGUAGACCCGAAACCAGGUGAUCUACCCAUGUCCAGGAUGAAGGUAAGGUAAUACUUACUGGAGGUCCGAACCCACGCACGUUGAAAAGUGCGGGGAUGAGGUGUGGGUAGCGGAGAAAUUCCAAUCGAACUUGGAGAUAGCUGGUUCUCUCCGAAAUAGCUUUAGGGCUAGCCUCGAGGUAAAGAGUCAUGGAGGUAGAGCACUGUUUGGACUAGGGGCCCUUCUCGGGUUACCGAAUUCAGAUAAACUCCGAAUGCCAUGUACUUAUACUCGGGAGUCAGACUGCGAGUGAUAAGAUCCGUAGUCGAAAGGGAAACAGCCCAGACCACCAGUUAAGGUCCCCAAAUAUAUGUUAAGUGGAAAAGGAUGUGGGGUUGCUUAGACAACCAGGAUGUUGGCUUAGAAGCAGCCACCAUUGAAAGAGUGCGUAAUAGCUCACUGGUCGAGUGACCCCGCGCCGAAAAUGUACCGGGGCUAAACAUAUUACCGAAACUGUGGAUGAACCUCUUUAGAGGUUCGUGGUAGGAGAGCGUUCUAAGGGCGGUGAAGUCAGACCGGAAGGACUGGUGGAGCGCUUAGAAGUGAGAAUGCCGGUAUGAGUAGCGAAAGAAGGGUGAGAAUCCCUUCCACCGAAUAUCUAAGGUUUCCUGAGGAAGGCUCGUCCGCUCAGGGUUAGUCGGGACCUAAGCCGAGGCCGAUAGGCGUAGGCGAUGGACAACAGGUAGAGAUUCCUGUACCAGUGCUAAUUGUUUAACCGAUGGGGUGACACAGAAGGAUAGGGAAUCGCACGAAUGGAAAUGUGCGUCCAAGCAGUGAGUGUGAGAAGUAGGCAAAUCCGCUUCUCGCGAAGCAUGAGCUGUGAUGGGGAAGGAAAUUAAGUACGGAAGUUCCUGAUUUCACGCUGUCAAGAAAAGCCUCUAGGAAGAGUAGUACUGCCCGUACCGCAAACCGACACAGGUAGAUGAGGAGAGAAUCCUAAGGUGAGCGAGAGAACUCUCGU